RNAcentral lists this long non-coding RNA (292 nucleotides) under Mytilus galloprovincialis (Mediterranean mussel). The record is from RNAcentral. Lineage: Eukaryota; Metazoa; Mollusca; Bivalvia; Mytilida; Mytilidae.
GCUGACUAUGCUGUAUGAGUUUGCUCAUUGUUGAAGACCUUACGAUGACCUAUAGUUGUUAAUUUCUGUGUAAUAUUGUCGUCGGCUGAGAGUUGUCUCAUUGGCAAUGAUACCUCAUAUUCGUAUGUGUUAUGUAUACCCAUACCAGUGAUAUUGUUUGCCUUAAAUUACCAAAGAAUAAAGGCUUUUUCCCCUUGAGAAAAAUCCCAAUUUGAAAAAAAAAUGGCUUAAAAUUAUUCCCCAAAAGACAACUUUUUUCCCAAACAGUGCAGUCACAGUAGUAAUAGUGCAU